RNAcentral lists this long non-coding RNA (383 nucleotides) under Neodiprion lecontei (redheaded pine sawfly). Its description in RNAcentral is "uncharacterized LOC124294238". Lineage: Eukaryota; Metazoa; Arthropoda; Insecta; Hymenoptera; Diprionidae. The record is from RNAcentral.
GUAACUCGUAAACUGAAGACUAUAUCUGCAGUCUAAUGCUGACCAUCGAAGGGCCUAGCCGCUUAAGUCGGGAAUCGGCAGGAAAGAUGAGCUAGUCGAAUUCCUCAGUCUGGAAACAACCGUUCAGUAGAGCAGACGUAUGAGAAUCGCGCUCCGCAAAUUUCGAGUACCUGGUUGUCUAUCUCCUGGAUCCUACGUUCCGGGGCCACUUUCUAGUGAAACUUGACUUCCAGGGCAAGCGCUUCGUGGUUCCUGCGCUCGAAGUCCGCUACCUGGUGGACAAGGAUUUCUGCACGUAUUCGAAGUAUAACCCAAGGUGGUUAUCAGUGGUUGUUGGUGGUGGUUGAAGGUGGUUGGAGGUGGUCGUAGGUGGACGAGGAGGA